UUGCUCUUCAACGAGGAAUUCCUAGUAAGCGUGAGUCAUCAGCUCGCGUUGAUUACGUCCCUGCCCUUUGUACACACCGCCCGUCGCUACUACCGAUUGAAUGGCUUAGUGAGGUCUCCGGAUUGGCUUUGGGGAGCCGGCAACGGCAUUCUAUUGCUGAGAAGCUGAUCAAACUUGGUCAUUUAGAGGAAGUAAAAGUCGUAACAAGGUUUCCGUAGGUGAACCUGCGGAAGGAUCAUUAUCGAAUGAAUGCGGAGUCGGUUGUAGCUGGUCCCUCCCCGGGGCAUGUGCACGCCUUCUCUCUCAUCCACAAACCCCUGUGCACUCGUGAGACGGAGGCUUCGGCCCGACACCGGGCUUGGUCCCCGUCUUUAUAACACAAACUCCAUUUAUCUGAAUGUAAACCUGAUGCUAAGCAUCUAAACUAAUACAAAGUUUCAACAACGGAUCUCUUGGCUCUCGCAUCGAUGAAGAACGCAGCGAAAUGCGAUAAGUAAUGUGAAUUGCAGAAUUCAGUGAAUCAUCGAAUCUUUGAACGCACCUUGCGCUCCUUGGUAUUCCUCGGAGCAUGCCUGUUUGAGUAUCAUGAAAUCUUCAAAGCACGUCUUUUGUUAAUUCAGCUGGUGCCGCUUUGGACUUGGGGGUUUGCAGAUUCACGUCUGCUCCUCCUAAAAUCAUUAGCCGGAUCUCGGUAGACUUGGUUCCACUCGGCGUGAUAAGUAUCACUCGCUGAGGACACCCGUAAAAAAGGUGGCCAGGACCGCUGAUGAGCCGCUUCCAACCGUCUUUCGGGACAACACACUUUACGAUCUGAUCUCAAAUCAGGUAGGACUACCCGCUGAACUUAAGCAUAUCAAUAAGCGGAGGA
RNAcentral lists this ribosomal RNA (868 nucleotides) under uncultured fungus. RNAcentral describes it as "eukaryotic LSU rRNA". The stretch from base 1 to 241 matches the Rfam family "Eukaryotic small subunit ribosomal RNA", at positions 1593 to 1831 of the family's 1831-position model. The record is from RNAcentral. Lineage: Eukaryota; Fungi.